Molecule: small nuclear RNA, 141 nt
Filed under: Rhodnius prolixus
Lineage: Eukaryota; Metazoa; Arthropoda; Insecta; Hemiptera; Reduviidae
Description: U4 spliceosomal RNA
Rfam family: U4 spliceosomal RNA
About the family: U4 small nuclear RNA (U4 snRNA) is a component of the major U2-dependent spliceosome. The structure of U4 snRNA from yeast and human has been reported. U4 snRNA presents a k-turn RNA motif in the 5p-SL related to recognition of Snu13 protein.
Source: Rfam by way of RNAcentral
AACCUUGCUCAGUGGCAAUAUCGUAACCAAUGAAGGCCUCCUGAGGUGCGAUUAUUGCUAGUUGGAAACUUUAAAGAUAAAUAAAUAAUCGUAUUCUUGAUUCUACGAAUUGUAACUUCAAAUUAACAGCAAAACCAUCUG